RNAcentral lists this ribosomal RNA (627 nucleotides) under uncultured Russulaceae. RNAcentral describes it as "LSU rRNA". It matches the Rfam family "Eukaryotic large subunit ribosomal RNA", at positions 47 to 649 of the family's 3401-position model. The record is from RNAcentral. Lineage: Eukaryota; Fungi; Basidiomycota; Agaricomycetes; Russulales; Russulaceae.
UAAGCGGAGGAAAGAAACUAACAAGGAUUCCCCUAGUAACUGCGAGUGAGCGGGAAAAGCUCAAAUUUAAAAUCUGGUGGCCUCUGGUCAUCCGAGUUGUAAUUUAGAGAAGCGUCUUCCGCGCUGGACCAUGCACAAGUCUCCUGGAAUGGAGCGUCAUAGAGGGUGAGAAUCCCGUCUUUGGCAUGGAUGCACCAGGGCUUCUGUGAUGCGCUCUCAAAGAGUCGAGUUGUUUGGGAAUGCAGCUCAAAAUGGGUGGUGAACUCCAUCUAAAGCUAAAUAUUGGCGAGAGACCGAUAGCGAACAAGUACCGUGAGGGAAAGAUGAAAAGCACUUUGGAAAGAGAGUGAAACAGUACGUGAAAUUGUUGAAAGGGAAACGCUUGAAGUCAGUCGCGUCGACCGAGACUCAGCCUCGCCUUGGCUUGGUGUACUUCUCGGCUGACGGGUCAGUGUCAAUUUUGGGCCUCGGAUAAUGACAAGGGAAAGGUGGCACCUUUAUAGGUGUGUUAUAGUCUCCUGUCGGAUGCGAGGGUCGGGAUUGAGGAACUCAGCACGCGCCUUUUGGUGUCGGGGCUUCGGCCUACGCUACGUGCUUAGGAUGCUGGCAUAAUGGCUUUAAACGACC